RNAcentral lists this ribosomal RNA (837 nucleotides) under uncultured archaeon. RNAcentral describes it as "bacterial SSU rRNA". It matches the Rfam family "Archaeal small subunit ribosomal RNA", at positions 21 to 859 of the family's 1478-position model. The record is from RNAcentral.
GGUUACUGCUAUCGGUGUUCGCCUAAGCCAUGCGAGUCAUAUGUUCGUAAGAACAUGGCGUACUGCUCAAUAACACGUGGAUAACCUGCCCUUGGGUCCGGCAUAACCCCGGGAAACUGGGGAUAAUUCCGGAUAACGCACAUAUGCUGGAAUGCUUUAUGCGUAAAAUGGAUUCGUCUGCCCAAGGAUGGGUCUGCGGCCUAUCAGGUAGUAGUGGGUGUAAUGUACCUACUAGCCUACGACGGGUACGGGUUGUGGGAGCAAGAGCCCGGAGAUGGAUUCUGAGACAUGAAUCCAGGCCCUACGGGGCGCAGCAGGCGCGAAAACUUUACAAUGCGGGAAACCGUGAUAAGGGGACACCGAGUGCCAGCAUCCUAUGCUGGCUGUCCGGGUGUGUAAAAUACACCUGUUAGCAAGGGCCGGGCAAGACCGGUGCCAGCCGCCGCGGUAACACCGGCGGCCCGAGUGGUGAUCGUGAUUAUUGGGUCUAAAGGGUCCGUAGCCGGUUUGGUCAGUCUUCCGGGAAAUCUGACAGCUUAACUGUUAGGCUUUCGGAGGAUACUGCCAGACUUGGAACCGGGAGAGGUAAGAGGUACUACAGGGGUAGGAGUGAAAUCUUGUAAUCCCUGUGGGACCACCUGUGGCGAAGGCGUCUUACCAGAACGGGUUCGACGGUGAGGGACGAAAGCUGGGGGCACGAACCGGAUUAGAUACCCGGGUAGUCCCAGCCGUAAACGAUGCUCGCUAGGUGUCAGGCAUGGCGCGACCGUGUCUGGUGCCGCAGGGAAGCCGUGAAGCGAGCCACCUGGGAAGUACGGCCGCAAGGCUGAAACUUAA